This 123-nucleotide ribosomal RNA is filed under the name Bison bison bison. The record is from RNAcentral. Lineage: Eukaryota; Metazoa; Chordata; Mammalia; Artiodactyla; Bovidae.
GUCUCAGGCCGUAUCAGCCUGAAAGGCGCCCCGAUCUCGUCUGAUCUCGGAAGCUAAGCAGGGUCGGGCCUCGUUAGGAUCUUGGGAUGGGAGACCACCUGGGAAUCCUGGGUGCUCGAGGCU